GACACUGCGCAGAACCCUCAAGCUCCCAGGCUUCUGGUAAAGGACCCAAGCUUGGAAGGAUGAGACCACCCGUGAACCACCCGCCGAUGCCCUUCAGUGCUGUGUCCAUGUAUAGAUCCAUGUGCCCGCUUAUCUUAGUCGCUAUGAUGCCUGACAGGAGCUUACAUGUUGUGGGGAAACGGGUAACUUGCCGAUAGUUGGAUGGGACUGUAUUGAGGGGUCCUUCAGGAUCAGGACUGUGCCCCUUUCAGUUAGCCAUGCAGGGUGAGUCGCAUUCUUUAGCAGCUGAUUCAUUUGUGUUACCAGGCGCUAAUGGAGUGCGGUGAGCUUCUUAAGCCAGUAGAUGUGGAUCUUGUCAGGCCCUGGUGCUGUCCAGUUUUUCAUACCUGACACUCUUUCUUGGAUGUCAUCCACAGGACACUGGGUUCUGCUCAGGGAGGUUGUGGUCUUCUCUUAGAGAAGAACAGCAUUGCUGUUGUGUGAUGCCUCUUUCUUCCAAAUGCCUUUCCAAUACUGUUCAGUCUCCAGCCUUGGUGGGUCUGCCCUGCAGUUAUAUUUCCACUAUGCGUACACUUUAGCUGAUUGGGUCAAGAAGCGCUGGUUUAUUCAUUUGGCUUCACUUUCUCUCAUGCAUCUCUUUAUCGCCAAAGCUUGGAUCCUUGUUUGGCAGUUUCUAGUGCUUCAGGGCUCUUCGGUACCGUUUUUCUCAUUGUGCCUUUCUGGAGCUCUGACAAUUGGCUCAAAUCUCUCCAUGCUACCUUGAUUUUGGCCUCCAACCUUCUUUUCCAUGGUGCGUAUUGUUUCUCAUGGUUGCUCAUGUUCUUAUAGCCAAGAAUAUCAAUGAUCUCUGCUGUUGAAGUGUAUAUCAGCUCAUUAGUUUCAGUGAUGUUGGUUGUAGGAAUAGUUCUCAAUGCUGCAUUUACAUUUUCCAUGAUUUCUGAUGAUACUUCACUCAGCCGUUGCAGUUGGCGUCAAGGUUGCCUGGUGUUUAUUUGUGCCAUUAUCCCAUCUCUCAGGUCAGUUGCUGCCUUGUUCAGAGUUGUUUCACUUAUUGGGGCUUCGUACCCAGUCUCUGGAUGGGGAGUUGAUGUUAACUCCCCUCUGACCUUGUGCCCUGGCUCCCCCUUGCCCUAGCAUUUGUGUUCUAUCUUGUCAAUCUCAAAUUGUGAUAGCAGUUGCCAUUUUUAAACAUAGCAUUUUAUUAAAUUGUACUAAAUUCAACCUUUAAGUGUUGAUUUGCAAAAAAAAAGAAGACGAUAUUUUAACUCAUGGAGGCUGCAGUUCUGUUGUUGCAUGAGCCAUGGACGUAGUUUUGGGGGACACAGGGGGGACAUACCCCCCCCCCCCCCCCCCAACACACACACACUUUUUCCAAAGACAAUUCUUUUCUUUUUUUUCCACUGCCACCUGUGUACUUGACAGUUCUGCGUUCCUGACAAUGCAUAAAAGAGCCUCUAGCCUGUAGUUUAAUUACAUAUUUUUUCUAUGCUAACUGUAAAGAUCCCUUCCCCCAUCCUCAUGCCGGCAGAAAGAUCUCAUCAGUCCUACAAACACUAAAAUGUAACAACCAAUUGUCAUGAGCCGGGGUGAGUACUCGUCACAUCAUUCACCACCUUUGAGCUCUGAUUACAGGAGAGGGAGCAACAGCUGUUUCUCAUCAGCGGGCCGGCUAUAUAAGGAGGAGGAGGACCAGAUUACGACGCCGGAUGAUUGCCGUUCACUGGUAGUCGCUUGCCUCCGAGUUUUUCGCUCUGUUUGCUCUUUGAUAUUUGAACUUUGAAUUUUUGGAAUAUUCGCUCAUUAAUGUUUGAUACCUACCUCAGGUUCCUGGAUUUCUGGAUUACGUGCUCUGCCCCUGGAAGGAAAUCUCUGGUUCAUUCCUGUAUCUCCUCUGCCUGCCGACCCGCUCUCCACCUCGCUCACGCUCCCUCUCCGGAUCAAUAUCCUCGCUCAUUCUCCUACUCACCUUCAUCUUGGACCGCUUCCUCAUCUUGGAUAUCACCACGGCUCACUCCCCUCCUAACAACAACUUCACUUCCGCACAACGCCGGUUCCAGAUUCUGCAACCCGCUGGAUUUCAGUGCGCCCUUAGUUUUCCCGUUUAAUAAAUAUCAUUUUACCUUUUACUAUCCAACUUGUCUCCGGUCUCUGAUUCUGCAUGUCUUGGGUUAAGCACAUACCUCAGAACAUAACACCAAUAGCAUUCAAUAGAAGCUUUCCAAUCUUAGCCAAUAAAUUUAACAAACUGUUCAUGUCCAGGAUGAUAAAUCUUGCAGAGGUGUCAAUCAAGAGCAUGUGUGACACGUAUCCUUUUUUUUUACAUUACUGUCCUAAAAAAUUGAUCUUGAUUUACAGAAAAAUGGUAAAGAAGACAAAAUCAAAUCAGAAUGCAAAGUGUUUCACAUGUGUUGUUUAAGCUGCUGCGUCUACAACCAAACUCAGAACAUAGUGAAAAGAAUUAUAAAAACAACCAAAAGGAAAUUGCAUGAACAAUUUUUACAGCUAAAUCAAUGACAGAAACUGACAAAUGUAGUGAAGUGUAGCGCCAAUGCCCUAUACACUGGCACUACCUGGUAGCUGUUGCGGGUGGUCUUUACGUGUGCUUUAAGAAAUGCAGCUUGAGUUUAUUUCCGAUGUUUAUUAUUUUGUCUGGUUCCAAAAAUGUCCAUGAUGAUCCAUUUACAGCAGUUAAAGUGGGUUUCAGUGCAUGCGUUACUUGCCCCAGUGACAAUCCGCAGAGUCCGUUACCCCAGCCACAGUCCUCGCCACACAGUAAAAAACUGUUUGUCCCAUCCAGCCAACCCUGAGUCCAAUCUGUGUUGGCUUAAGUAGGCUGGUGCUUCCACAAGCAAUUAACCAAUAAUAUUAGGCCAAGCCUCCUCUCAAGUGCACAAAAAGAAAUGACACAUAUGGCUCCUACAUGUAGUUUUAUGACAUAUUGUGCUUUAUCCUGUAAAUUGUACUGCAGAACAAAAAAAAAAAAAAAACAA
Non-coding RNA from Nothobranchius furzeri (turquoise killifish), 2990 nucleotides. NCBI's taxonomy places the organism in Eukaryota, Metazoa, Chordata, Actinopteri, Cyprinodontiformes, Nothobranchiidae. The record is from RefSeq and is a predicted model, not a curated record.